Molecule: long non-coding RNA, 425 nt
Filed under: Pan troglodytes (chimpanzee)
Lineage: Eukaryota; Metazoa; Chordata; Mammalia; Primates; Hominidae
Description: long non-coding RNA NONPTRT006949
Source: RNAcentral
CGGCUGACAAAAUCACCGAGCCAUCGACGAGCCCGCGAAACCUCGGCCGUCCUGGGCUUGUCCCUGCAUGUUUGUAAAGCGGGACUGGCACCAACCUCAGAAAGGAUGGGAGAUGUGUGCAAAAAAGCGCCUUGUAAAACGCGCCAAGAAAACCCUGGAGGGAGGCUGUUAGGAGGGACUCUGAGCUUCACACCUGUCUGCUGCCAUGGGUGCAGAGCCCUAGUCCUGAUGGCCCCUGGUGGCACAUAUCGAAUGCCUAGGGCAGAAAGGAAGUGGGAAUGGCGAAGAUGUGACGUUCCUCGGUGUUAGAUCCUGUUUUUUCUUAACAAGUUGAGGCGUGGGUAGAGCAGGAAUUGGUUUUCCAGCAUUGUGUCCGUAAACCUGAGUUAGAAUAAGAUGUAACGGAAGCCACGAUAAAGACUCGG